This 401-nucleotide ribosomal RNA is filed under the name Pseudoalteromonas sp. CR-III-E23. RNAcentral's name for it is "bacterial SSU rRNA". It matches the Rfam family "Bacterial small subunit ribosomal RNA", at positions 115 to 519 of the family's 1533-position model. Lineage: Bacteria; Pseudomonadati; Pseudomonadota; Gammaproteobacteria; Alteromonadales; Pseudoalteromonadaceae. The record is from RNAcentral.
GCUUGGGAACAUGCCUUGAGGUGGGGGACAACCAUUGGAAACGAUGGCUAAUACCGCAUAAUGUCUACGGACCAAAGGGGGCUUCGGCUCUCGCCUUUAGAUUGGCCCAAGUGGGAUUAGCUAGUUGGUGAGGUAAGGGCUCACCAAGGCGACGAUCCCUAGCUGGUUUGAGAGGAUGAUCAGCCACACUGGAACUGAGACACGGUCCAGACUCCUACGGGAGGCAGCAGUGGGGAAUAUUGCACAAUGGGCGCAACCUGAUGCAGCCAUGCCGCGUGUGUGAAGAAGGCCUUAGGGUUGUAAAGCACUUUCAGUCAGGAGGAAAGGUUAGUAGUUAAUACCUGCUAGCUGUGACGUUACUGACAGAAGAAGCACCGGCUAACUCCGUGCCAGCAGCCGCG